UGGAUGAUGUGGAUUAAUUCGAUGCAACGCGAAGAACCUUACUACCCUUGACAUGUCCGGAACUUGCCAGAGAUGGCUUGGUGCCCGAAAGGGAAUCGGAACACAGGUGCUGCAUGGCUGUCGUCAGCUCGUGUCGUGAGAUGUUGGGUUAAGUCCCGCAACGAGCGCAACCCUUAUCAUUAGUUGCUACGCAAGGGCACUCUAAUGAGACUGCCGGUGACAAACCGGAGGAAGGUGGGGAUGACGUCAAGUCCUCAUGGCCCUUAUGGGUAGGGCUUCACACGUCAUACAAUGGUCGGUACAGAGGGUUGCCAAGCCGCGAGGCGGAGCCAAUCCCACAAAGCCGAUCGUAGUCCGGAUUGUUCUCUGCAACUCGAGAGCAUGAAGUCGGAAUCGCUAGUAAUCGCAGGUCAGCAUACUGUGGUGAAUACGUUCCCGGGUCUU
Molecule: ribosomal RNA, 444 nt
Filed under: uncultured Thiobacillus sp.
Lineage: Bacteria; Pseudomonadati; Pseudomonadota; Betaproteobacteria; Nitrosomonadales; Thiobacillaceae
Description: bacterial SSU rRNA
Rfam family: Bacterial small subunit ribosomal RNA
Source: RNAcentral